UUCCUACGGGACGCAGCAGUGAGGAAUAUUGGUCAAUGGACGGAAGCCUGAACCAGCCAUGCCGCGUGCAGGAAGACGGCUCUAUGAGUUGUAAACUGCUUUUGUACAAGGGCAAACCUGAAUACGUGUAUUCAGCUGAAAGAACUGUACGAAUAAGGAUCGGGUAACACCGUGCCAGCAGCCGCGGUAAUACGGAGGAUCCAAGCGUUAUCCGGAUUUAUUGGGUUUAAAGGGUGCGUAGGCGGAUUGAUAAGUUAGAGGGGAAAUGUGCGAGCUUAACUCGGGAACUGCCUCUAAUACUGUUG
Molecule: ribosomal RNA, 305 nt
Filed under: uncultured bacterium
Lineage: Bacteria
Description: bacterial SSU rRNA
Rfam family: Bacterial small subunit ribosomal RNA
Source: RNAcentral